CCUUGUACACACCGCCCGUCACAUCACGAGAGUUUGUAACACCCGAAGUCGGUGGAGUAACCGUAAGGAGCUAGCCGCCUAAGGUGGGACAGAUGAUUGGGGUG
RNAcentral lists this ribosomal RNA (104 nucleotides) under uncultured bacterium. RNAcentral's name for it is "partial 16S ribosomal RNA". It matches the Rfam family "Bacterial small subunit ribosomal RNA", at positions 1379 to 1482 of the family's 1533-position model. The record is from RNAcentral.